Molecule: ribosomal RNA, 371 nt
Filed under: uncultured bacterium
Lineage: Bacteria
Description: bacterial SSU rRNA
Rfam family: Bacterial small subunit ribosomal RNA
Source: RNAcentral
AGCGAACGCUGGCGGCAGGCUUAACACAUGCAAGUCGAGCGGGCGUAGCAAUACGUCAGCGGCAGACGGGUGAGUAACGCGUGGGAACAUACCUUUUGGUUCGGAACAACACAGGGAAACUUGUGCUAAUACCGGAUAAGCCCUUACGGGGAAAGAUUUAUCGCCGAAAGAUUGGCCCGCGUCUGAUUAGCUAGUUGGUGAGGUAACGGCUCACCAAGGCGACGAUCAGUAGCNGGUCUGAGAGGAUGAUCAGCCACAUUGGGACUGAGACACGGCCCAAACUCCUACGGGAGGCAGCAGGUGGGGAAUAUUGGACAAUGGGGGCAACCCUGAUCCAGCAAUGCCGCGUGAGUGAUGAAGGCCUUAGGGUU